Molecule: small RNA, 59 nt
Filed under: Arabidopsis thaliana (thale cress)
Lineage: Eukaryota; Viridiplantae; Streptophyta; Magnoliopsida; Brassicales; Brassicaceae
Description: ATSL168350
Source: RNAcentral
AAGUGCCUUUGUGAUUUGGGAGCAUUUGUUAGCCUUAUGCCUCUCUCUACUGCCAAAAG